CUUACCUGGGGAAAGACUUGUAAUCGUGUUGCCGAGCUUGUAGUGUAAGGAGGUAUGCAACAUCCCGUGAUGUGUUAAGGCUUGUCGCGCAAGUCUCUAAGCAAACAUUUCUCGAGGUCGUCGACAGGCGUUCUUCCAGGUGGUUCUCCACAUUUAGCUGUGAGAGCAGGAUGGAGUUCUCUGCGCCUGUCCGCUGCACUCUGGCUGCUGUGUCACCUGAUGGCGCGUACCUGGCCACCACCCUCGGCGUCCGACUGACUGUGUUCGGGGUAGCUGCCCAGCAGGAGGUGGCCUCGUUCACCUGCCUGGAUGACCCGCAGCAUCUGGAGUGGUCGCCGGACUCGACGCUGCUGCUGACGGCGGUGUUCUCGCGGCGCGCCGUCCAGCUCUGGAGCGUGGAG
Pollicipes pollicipes is the source of this 401-nucleotide long non-coding RNA. RefSeq lists it as uncharacterized. The record is from RefSeq and is a predicted model, not a curated record. Lineage: Eukaryota; Metazoa; Arthropoda; Thecostraca; Pollicipedomorpha; Pollicipedidae. The transcript has 3 exons.